GGUAUCCUGACCGUGCGAAGGUAGCGUAAUCACUUGUCUUUUAAAUGAAGACCUGUAUGAAUGGCAUAACGAGGGUUUAACUGUCUCCUCCUCCCAGUCAAUGAAAUUGAUCUGCCCGUGCAGAAGCGGACAUAAAAACAUAAGACGAGAAGACCCUAUGGAGCUUUAGGCCAAGGACCAAUCAUGUUAAGAGACUACAAAAAUCAACAAGAACAAAAAAGUCAACAAACCAAAUGCAACCUCGUCCAAGUGCCUUCGGUUGGGGCGACCACGGGGAAAAAAGAAACCCCCACAUGGAAUGGGAAUUAUUCCCUUAAACCAAGAAAAACAAUUCUAAGCAACAGAACAUCUGACCAAUAUAUGACCCAGGAAAACACAUCCUGAUCAAUGAACCAAGUUACCCUAGGGAUAACAGCGCAAUCCUUUCCCAGAGCCCAUAUCGACGAAAGGGUUUACGACCUCGAUGUUGGAUCAGGACAUCCUAAUGGUGCAGCCGCUAUUAAGGG
RNAcentral lists this ribosomal RNA (506 nucleotides) under Gnathophis ginanago. RNAcentral describes it as "partial 16S ribosomal RNA". It matches the Rfam family "Bacterial large subunit ribosomal RNA", at positions 1935 to 2571 of the family's 2925-position model. The record is from RNAcentral. Lineage: Eukaryota; Metazoa; Chordata; Actinopteri; Anguilliformes; Congridae.